RNAcentral lists this ribosomal RNA (2933 nucleotides) under Enterobacter cloacae. RNAcentral describes it as "bacterial LSU rRNA". It matches the Rfam family "Bacterial large subunit ribosomal RNA". Lineage: Bacteria; Pseudomonadati; Pseudomonadota; Gammaproteobacteria; Enterobacterales; Enterobacteriaceae. The record is from RNAcentral.
GGGUUGUGAGGUUAAGCGACUAAGCGUACACGGUGGAUGCCCUGGCAGUCAGAGGCGAUGAAGGACGUGCUAAUCUGCGAAAAGCGCCGGCGAGGUGAUAUGAACCCUUGACCCGGCGAUGUCCGAAUGGGGAAACCCAGUGCAAUCCGUUGCACUAUCGUUAACUGAAUACAUAGGUUAACGAGGCGAACCGGGGGAACUGAAACAUCUAAGUACCCCGAGGAAAAGAAAUCAACCGAGAUUCCCCCAGUAGCGGCGAGCGAACGGGGAGCAGCCCGGAGUCUGAAUCAGCUUGUGUGUUAGUGGAACGGUCUGGAAAGUCCGACGGUACAGGGUGAUAGUCCCGUACACGAAAGCACACAUGCUGUGAACUCGAAGAGUAGGGCGGGACACGUGGUAUCCUGUCUGAAUAUGGGGGGACCAUCCUCCAAGGCUAAAUACUCCUGACUGACCGAUAGUGAACCAGUACCGUGAGGGAAAGGCGAAAAGAACCCCGGCGAGGGGAGUGAAAAAGAACCUGAAACCGUGUACGUACAAGCAGUGGGAGCCUCUUUAUGGGGUGACUGCGUACCUUUUGUAUAAUGGGUCAGCGACUUAUAUUCUGUAGCAAGGUUAACCGUAUAGGGGAGCCGAAGGGAAACCGAGUCUUAACUGGGCGUUAAGUUGCAGGGUAUAGACCCGAAACCCGGUGAUCUAGCCAUGGGCAGGUUGAAGGUUGGGUAACACUAACUGGAGGACCGAACCGACUAAUGUUGAAAAAUUAGCGGAUGACCUGUGGCUGGGGGUGAAAGGCCAAUCAAACCGGGAGAUAGCUGGUUCUCCCCGAAAGCUAUUUAGGUAGCGCCUCGUGAACUCAUCUUCGGGGGUAGAGCACUGUUUCGGCUAGGGGGCCAUCCCGGCUUACCAACCCGAUGCAAACUACGAAUACCGAAGAAUGUUAUCACGGGAGACACACGGCGGGUGCUAACGUCCGUCGUGAAGAGGGAAACAACCCAGACCGCCAGCUAAGGUCCCAAAGUCAUGGUUAAGUGGGAAACGAUGUGGGAAGGCACAGACAGCCAGGAUGUUGGCUUAGAAGCAGCCAUCAUUUAAAGAAAGCGUAAUAGCUCACUGGUCGAGUCGGCCUGCGCGGAAGAUGUAACGGGGCUAAACCAUGCACCGAAGCUGCGGCAGCGACGCUUAUGCGUUGUUGGGUAGGGGAGCGUUCUGUAAGCCGUUGAAGGUGUGCUGUGAGGCAUGCUGGAGGUAUCAGAAGUGCGAAUGCUGACAUAAGUAACGAUAAAGCGGGUGAAAAGCCCGCUCGCCGGAAGACCAAGGGUUCCUGUCCAACGUUAAUCGGGGCAGGGUGAGUCGACCCCUAAGGCGAGGCCGAAAGGCGUAGUCGAUGGGAAACAGGUUAAUAUUCCUGUACUUGGUGUUACUGCGAAGGGGGGACGGAGAAGGCUAUGUCAGCCGGGCGACGGUUGUCCCGGUUUAAGCAUGUAGGCGGAGGUUCCAGGUAAAUCCGGUACCUUAUUAACGCUGAGGUGUGAUGACGAGGCACUACGGUGCUGAAGUGAUAAAUGCCCUGCUUCCAGGAAAAGCCUCUAAGCAUCAGGUAACACGAAAUCGUACCCCAAACCGACACAGGUGGUCAGGUAGAGAAUACCAAGGCGCUUGAGAGAACUCGGGUGAAGGAACUAGGCAAAAUGGUGCCGUAACUUCGGGAGAAGGCACGCUGAUGUGUAGGUGAAGCCCCUGCGGGCGGAGCUGAAAUCAGUCGAAGAUACCAGCUGGCUGCAACUGUUUAUUAAAAACACAGCACUGUGCAAACACGAAAGUGGACGUAUACGGUGUGACGCCUGCCCGGUGCCGGAAGGUUAAUUGAUGGGGUUAGCGGCAACGCGAAGCUCUUGAUCGAAGCCCCGGUAAACGGCGGCCGUAACUAUAACGGUCCUAAGGUAGCGAAAUUCCUUGUCGGGUAAGUUCCGACCUGCACGAAUGGCGUAAUGAUGGCCAGGCUGUCUCCACCCGAGACUCAGUGAAAUUGAACUCGCUGUGAAGAUGCAGUGUACCCGCGGCAAGACGGAAAGACCCCGUGAACCUUUACUAUAGCUUGACACUGAACACUGGUCCUUGAUGUGUAGGAUAGGUGGGAGGCUUUGAAGCGUGGACGCCAGUCUGCGUGGAGCCAACCUUGAAAUACCACCCUUUAAUGGCUGGUGUUCUAACGUGGACCCGUAAUCCGGGUUGCGGACAGUGUCUGGUGGGUAGUUUGACUGGGGCGGUCUCCUCCCAAAGAGUAACGGAGGAGCACGAAGGUUGGCUAAUCCUGGUCGGACAUCAGGAGGUUAGUGCAAUGGCAUAAGCCAGCUUGACUGCGAGCGUGACGGCGCGAGCAGGUGCGAAAGCAGGUCAUAGUGAUCCGGUGGUUCUGAAUGGAAGGGCCAUCGCUCAACGGAUAAAAGGUACUCCGGGGAUAACAGGCUGAUACCGCCCAAGAGUUCAUAUCGACGGCGGUGUUUGGCACCUCGAUGUCGGCUCAUCACAUCCUGGGGCUGAAGUAGGUCCCAAGGGUAUGGCUGUUCGCCAUUUAAAGUGGUACGCGAGCUGGGUUUAGAACGUCGUGAGACAGUUCGGUCCCUAUCUGCCGUGGGCGCUGGAGAAUUGAGGGGGGCUGCUCCUAGUACGAGAGGACCGGAGUGGACGCAUCACUGGUGUUCGGGUUGUCAUGCCAAUGGCACUGCCCGGUAGCUAAAUGCGGAAGAGAUAAGUGCUGAAAGCAUCUAAGCACGAAACUUGCCCCGAGAUGAGUUCUCCCUGAGACUUUAAGUCUCCUGAAGGAACGUUGAAGACGACGACGUUGAUAGGUCGGGUGUGUAAGCGCAGCGAUGCGUUGAGCUAACCGAUACUAAUGAACCGUGAGGCUUAACCUUACAACGCCGAAGGUGUUU